AGCGCAGGCGGUUCCUUAAGUCUGAUGUGAAAGCCCACGGCUCAACCGUGGAAGGUCAUUGGAAACUGGGGAACUUGAGUGCAGAAGAGGAGAGUGGAAUUCCAUGUGUAGCGGUGAAAUGCGUAGAUAUAUGGAGGAACACCAGUGGCGAAGGCGACUCUCUGGUCUGUAACUGACGCUGAGGCUCGAAAGCGUGGGAGCAAACA
This 206-nucleotide ribosomal RNA is filed under the name uncultured bacterium. RNAcentral's name for it is "partial 16S ribosomal RNA". It matches the Rfam family "Bacterial small subunit ribosomal RNA", at positions 568 to 774 of the family's 1533-position model. The record is from RNAcentral.